CCUUACCAGGUCUUGACAUCCUCUGACAACUCUAGAGAUAGAGCGUUCCCCUUCGGGGGACAGAGUGACAGGUGGUACAAGGUUGUCGUCAGCUCGUGUCGUGAGAUGUUGGGUUAAGUCCCGCAACGAGCGCAACCCUUGAUCUUAGUUGCCAGCAUUUAGUUGGGCACUCUAAGGUGACUGCCGGUGACAAACCGGAGGAAGGUGGGGAUGACGUCAAAUCAUCAUGCCCCUUAUGACCUGGGCUACACACGUGCUACAAUGGAUGGUACAAAGGGCUGCAAGACCGCGAGGUCAAGCCAAUCCCAUAAAACCAUUCUCAGUUCGGAUUGUAGGCUGCAACUCGCCUACAUGAAGCUGGAAUCGCUAGUAAUCGCGGAUCAGCAUGCCGCGGUGAAUACGUUCCCGGGCCUUGUACACACCGCCCGUCAAACCACGAGAGUUUGUAACACCCGAAGUCGGUGGGGUA
This 469-nucleotide ribosomal RNA is filed under the name Priestia flexa. RNAcentral's name for it is "bacterial SSU rRNA". It matches the Rfam family "Bacterial small subunit ribosomal RNA", at positions 969 to 1437 of the family's 1533-position model. Lineage: Bacteria; Bacillati; Bacillota; Bacilli; Caryophanales; Bacillaceae. The record is from RNAcentral.